RNAcentral lists this non-coding RNA (70 nucleotides) under human gut metagenome. RNAcentral describes it as "Glycine riboswitch". It matches the Rfam family "Glycine riboswitch aptamer", at positions 7 to 88 of the family's 94-position model. From Rfam's summary of the family: This family represents the bacterial glycine riboswitch. Glycine riboswitches usually consist of two metabolite-binding aptamers domains with similar structures in tandem. The record is from RNAcentral.
GGAUCGGGAGAGUCCGCUGCAGGCGGCGCCGAAGGGGAACGCAGAAGCUCUCAGGCAAAAGGACCGAUUC